This 253-nucleotide ribosomal RNA is filed under the name uncultured bacterium. RNAcentral describes it as "partial 16S ribosomal RNA". It matches the Rfam family "Bacterial small subunit ribosomal RNA", at positions 524 to 776 of the family's 1533-position model. The record is from RNAcentral.
UACGUAGGGUGCGAGCGUUAAUCGGAAUUACUGGGCGUAAAGCGUGCGCAGGCGGUUCGUUAAGUCAGCUGUGAAAGCCCCGGGCUCAACCUGGGAAUUGCGGUUGAAACUGGCGAACUAGAAUCUGGCAGAGGGGGGUGGAAUUCCACGUGUAGCAGUGAAAUGCGUAGAGAUGUGGAGGAACACCGAUGGCGAAGGCAGCCCCCUGGGCUGAGAUUGACGCUCAGGCACGAAAGCGUGGGGAGCAAACCGG